This 546-nucleotide ribosomal RNA is filed under the name uncultured bacterium. Its description in RNAcentral is "partial 16S ribosomal RNA". It matches the Rfam family "Bacterial small subunit ribosomal RNA", at positions 355 to 889 of the family's 1533-position model. The record is from RNAcentral.
UAGGGAAUCUUCCACAAUGGACGCAAGUCUGAUGGAGCAACGCCGCGUGAGUGAAGAAGGUUUUCGGACCGUAAAGCUCUGUUGUUGGUGAAGAAGGAUAGAGGUAGUAACUGGCCUUUAUUUGACGGUAAUCAACCAGAAGGUCACGGCUAACUACGUGCCAGCAGCCGCGGUAAUACGUAGGUGGCAAGCGUUGUCCGGAUUUAUUGGGCGUAAAGCGAGCGCAGGCGGAAGAAUAAGUCUGAUGUGAAAGCCCUCGGCUUAACCGAGGAAUUGCAUCGGAAACUGUUUUUCUUGAGUGCAGAAGAGGAGAGUAGAACUCCAUGUGUAGCGGUGGAAUGCGUAGAUAUAUGGAAGAAUACCAGUGGCGAAGGCGGCUCUCUGGUCCGCAACUGACGCUGAGGCUCGAAAAGCAUGGGUAGCGAACAGGAUUAGAUACCCUGGUAGUCCAUGCCGUAAAACGAUGAGUGCUAAGUGUUGGGAGGCUUCCGCCUCUCAGUGCUGCAGCUAACGCAUUAAGCACUCCGCCUGGGGGAGUACGACCGC